This 228-nucleotide ribosomal RNA is filed under the name uncultured eukaryote. RNAcentral describes it as "partial 18S ribosomal RNA". It matches the Rfam family "Eukaryotic small subunit ribosomal RNA", at positions 1208 to 1456 of the family's 1831-position model. The record is from RNAcentral.
GGAAAUCUCACCAGGCCCGGACACUGGAAGGAUUGACAGAUUGAUAGCUCUUUCUUGAUUCGGUGCGUGGUGGUGCAUGGCCGUUCUUAGUUGGUUGAGUGAUUUGUCUGGUUAAUUCCGUUAACGAACGAGACCUUAACCUGCUAAAUAGUGACGCGGUUCAUCGAACCGUGGGCCACUUCUUAGAGGGACUAUCGGAUUCAAACCGAUGGAAGUGUGAGGCAAUAA